Molecule: ribosomal RNA, 325 nt
Filed under: uncultured eukaryote
Lineage: Eukaryota
Description: partial 18S ribosomal RNA
Rfam family: Eukaryotic small subunit ribosomal RNA
Source: RNAcentral
CCCUUAGACGUUCUGGGCCGCACGCGCGCUACACUGACGAAGGCAACGAGCUUUCCUUUACCGAAAGGUACGGGUAAUCUUUUGAAAUUUGCUCGUGAUGGGGAUCGACGGUUGCAAUUUUCCGUCGUGAACGAGGAAUACCUUGUAGGCGCAUGUCAUCAUCAUGCGCCGAAUACGUCCCUGCCCUUUGUACACACCGCCCGUCGCUCCUACCGAUUGAGUGAUCCGGUGAGGCUCUGGGACCUGGACGGAAAGAGCGUUUCGCUUGUUCUGUUUGGGAAACUUGGUCGAACCUUAUCAUUUAGAGGAAGGAGAAGUCGUAACA